UCUGUACAUCUGGCAAUCUUGGUGCAAUACUGGAUGGUUUUAACUAAGAACUGAUCCAGCAUGAAGACCAGCCAUGUGCCUCACCUGUCAUGACAUUAUUAAAGUACUUUGUGACAGUGGGAUGAUGGAAUAUUAAAGAAUGGACAUGGCUCUAUAUUACUGCAUCAGAGAUCAAUCCAGGUUUACUUAUAAAUCAAAGAAAAACACUUAAACAGUCAAGCAUCAUUUGAAGCUACAUGUGUCACCGCUUUAACAAUAUGCCUGCUUAUAUAACCAAGAAAGCACAGUGACCAGUUGUACCUAUGAUGUCAGACAAGAUCCCGAAAAAACUUCCAGUACACUCAUCACUACCUGCAAAGAAUUGAAAAUUCUAAAUGACUUGUAUGAACACUUUUGUACUUCAUCUGGCUUGUAUUUUCAGUACUCAUUAGCUUUUAGCUUCCUGCAAACAAAAUUUCAUAAGUACUAACUUGCAGGUGUAAAAUAUAUUUGAAACAGUUUGCUUGUCCCAAAGGAAAUUCUGCCAAUUAGCAGUGGCAUGAGCAGUUGAUUGAUGUCACAGUUCCACCGGCAAAGUAUUUGUAGCUUAAUGGUGCCAUGUAAAACACUUUUCACAAGAACAUGGAAAACAUCCUAGAAGUGAGGAUCUACAAGAAAUUAAGAGAAUACUUUCUUAAAUAUUUUCAAUGUUAUAAAAUGCUUGUGUACAUCCUUUAUAUAUAAAACUAAUUACGCAUGUAACUACCAAAUAUACAAAUUAAACUUCAAUCCUUAAA
Molecule: long non-coding RNA, 776 nt
Organism: Saccostrea cuccullata (small rock oyster)
Lineage: Eukaryota; Metazoa; Mollusca; Bivalvia; Ostreida; Ostreidae
Exons: 2
Source: RefSeq, a predicted model, not a curated record